UAUGAAUGAAACAAAUCGCCCAUAACUGCUUAUGCAAAUCGCCAUAACUACCAGGAGGCGUUUUCAUAUGCUCAUCUCUGUAUCCACAGCUGAGGCAACUGCAGAAGGAAAGUCCAGGUCGAUUCCUCUCACAAGAUGGAGAAAUUGAACUACCGGUGGACUAGGUUUCCAUGCAUAGCUUAUCAGUGGUGGAGGCAGAAAUUAAGUCCAGUUCAGCGUCUCCUGCGCUGGGGAGCAGAACCACAGAGCCACUACAGCACAGCCAGUGAUUUCUUCCAUCUCCAGCUCGGCCUGCUGCCUGCAAGCUCACGACCUUUGGUGUCAUUCAGACCAGAGGAAAGAGGAAUGAACUGUGAUUCCAGAGCCCAGCAUUGAGUAUUGGCUCUGACACUGGAAACCAAAAGGAAGGAAAAUAAUUACUGAGCACUUUUAUGUGGCAAGAACUAUGCCGGGUACGUUGCUGGUUAUCUAUCUGAAUUUCCACACCAAUCCUGUGAAAUGAUUCUUAUUAGCCCUAUUUUACAGAUGAAGAAACAAGCUGAGGCUGGAGAAAUGACUUCUUUGAGUUUGGGAAUCAAUCUCCCUGAUUCUGUUAUCCUCGAUUGCCUAUCCUUAUUGUGUGUCCUAGUGCCAGUCUUUUAACCUCUCUGGGCUGGGGUUUUUUCAUUUAUUAAAUGGGACAUGAAAAAGCUGAUUUCUGUAGUCUUAUCUAGCUCUAAUAUUCUAGAUUCUAAAUGCAUUUAAAUGUGUUUAAUUUUUGUUUCCUAAGCUAGAGUUUUGAAUCAUACAGUAACUGAAAUGCUUUAGCCAGAGUACGAUUUCCACCCUUUCCUGGCAAGAGAGGAUAAUGACCCUGCAUUUGGAGGCUCUGGCACAAAGGGAUUUGUCACCCUGACACCAGAAGUGAAAG
Long non-coding RNA from Equus caballus (horse), 910 nucleotides. The record is from Ensembl. NCBI's taxonomy places the organism in Eukaryota, Metazoa, Chordata, Mammalia, Perissodactyla, Equidae.